This 104-nucleotide transfer RNA is filed under the name Pseudogymnoascus sp. VKM F-3557. It matches the Rfam family "tRNA". Rfam says of the family: Transfer RNA (tRNA) molecules are approximately 80 nucleotides in length. Their secondary structure includes four short double-helical elements and three loops (D, anti-codon, and T loops). Lineage: Eukaryota; Fungi; Ascomycota; Leotiomycetes; Thelebolales; Thelebolaceae. The record is from Rfam by way of RNAcentral.
GGGCGCUUGGUCUAGGGGUAUGAUUUCCCCUUCGCAGAACACAUGACAUCAAGUCACGUGAUUUUAAAUGGGGAAGGUCGUGGGUUCAAUUCCCACAGUGUCCA